UGGGGAAUAUUGCGCAAUGGGGGAAACCCUGACGCAGCAACGCCGCGUGAAGGAAGAAGGUCUUCGGAUUGUAAACUUUUGUCUUUGGUGACGAUAAUGACGGUAGCCAAGGAGGAAGCCACGGCUAACUACGUGCCAGCAGCCGCGGUAAUACGUAGGUGGCAAGCGUUGUCCGGAUUUACUGGGUGUAAAGGGCGUGUAGACGGGCCGGUCAGUCAGAUGUGAAAUACCGCGGCUUAACCGCGGGGCUGCAUUUGAAACUGCCGGUCUUGAGUGCGGGAGAGGAAAGCGGAAUUCCUAGUGUAGCGGUGAAAUGCGUAGAUAUUAGGAGGAACACCAGUGGCGAAGGCGGCUUUCUGGACCGUAACUGACGUUGAGGCGCGAAAGCGUGGGUAGCAAACAGG
Molecule: ribosomal RNA, 404 nt
Filed under: uncultured bacterium
Lineage: Bacteria
Description: bacterial SSU rRNA
Rfam family: Bacterial small subunit ribosomal RNA
Source: RNAcentral